GAACUGGACGUUUUUGAUGAGACCAACACAUUUAUUGAGGAAGACAUUUUUUUGGAACUGAUAGAGGCCAGUCCAGAUCUCUGCCUGACAGUUUGUGACAGAAAUCCUGAUGCAGUUCAUACACUGGAGGAGAUACAGCUUGCACCUGGUACAACAACACAAGACAGCAUUGCAGGGGAAGACUUCUCUCCUUUGGAUCAUUCAACGUCCUCCCUCACGGAUACUGACACGUCACUUUCUUCAAGUGGCAAUGACCACGGCAGUGGAGUAGAAUCAGGGAUUCCCAUUGGCACACGUACAUCCAGCCCUGAAGUCACAACCAGGCCUCGCACAGAGGUUUCUGAGUCAGAGGCUGCAAAAGAGAUGGUAGAAAAUGCCUUGCUUUGCAAACCUGGGGGUGAGGAUGUCAUUGCAGAGUACGGUACAACGCAGAAAAGUCACUCACUCACCGCACCCGGAGACGGCUUGUGAACAUUUUGGCUAGCCAUAUGA
Molecule: long non-coding RNA, 492 nt
Organism: Acanthochromis polyacanthus (spiny chromis)
Lineage: Eukaryota; Metazoa; Chordata; Actinopteri; Pomacentridae
Exons: 4
Source: RefSeq, a predicted model, not a curated record